UAAAGUCGUGAUGACAAAUGA
Molecule: non-coding RNA, 21 nt
Filed under: Caenorhabditis elegans
Lineage: Eukaryota; Metazoa; Nematoda; Chromadorea; Rhabditida; Rhabditidae
Source: RNAcentral